This 29-nucleotide non-coding RNA is filed under the name Homo sapiens (human). The record is from RNAcentral. Lineage: Eukaryota; Metazoa; Chordata; Mammalia; Primates; Hominidae.
UGGUAUAUUACUCCCUUCUCACGCUGCUA